RNAcentral lists this ribosomal RNA (497 nucleotides) under uncultured bacterium. Its description in RNAcentral is "partial 16S ribosomal RNA". It matches the Rfam family "Bacterial small subunit ribosomal RNA", at positions 28 to 507 of the family's 1533-position model. The record is from RNAcentral.
GAUGAACGCUGGCGGCGUGCCUAAUACAUGCAAGUCGAGCGAACGGACGAGACGCUUGCUUCUCGGACGUUAGCGACGGACGGGUGAGUAACACGUGUAUAAUCUACCUAUAUGACUGGGAUAACCUCGGGAAACCGUAGCUAAUACCGGAUAAUAUUUUGAACCGCAUGGUUCAAAAGUGAAAGACGGUCUUGCUGUCACUUAUAGAUGGAUCCGCGCUGCAUUAGCUAGUUGGUAAGGUAACGGCUUACCAAGGCAACGAUGCAUAGCCGACCGGAGAGGGUGAUAGCCGGCCCUGGAACGGAACCACGGUCCAUGCUCCUACGGGAGGCAGCAGUAGCGUAUCUUCCGCAGCGGGCGAAAGCCUGGCGGAGCAACGCCACGUCAGUGGUGAAGGUCUUCGGAUCGUAAUACUCUGUUUUGAGUGAAGAACAUAUUUGUAAGUAGCUGUGCCGAUCUUGACGGUACCUGAUCAGAAAGCCCCGGCUAACUACGUG